RNAcentral lists this transfer RNA (56 nucleotides) under Trichostrongylus axei. Its description in RNAcentral is "tRNA-Asn". Lineage: Eukaryota; Metazoa; Nematoda; Chromadorea; Rhabditida; Trichostrongylidae. The record is from RNAcentral.
UAAGAGUUAGUUUAAGUAAGAAUUGUUAACUGUUAAUUAAAAGGUUUACUCUUAAU